Molecule: ribosomal RNA, 460 nt
Filed under: uncultured bacterium
Lineage: Bacteria
Description: partial 16S ribosomal RNA
Rfam family: Bacterial small subunit ribosomal RNA
Source: RNAcentral
CCUACGGGCGGCAGCAGUGAGGAAUAUUGGUCAAUGGACGAGAGUCUGAACCAGCCAAGUAGCGUGAAGGAUGACUGCCCUAUGGGUUGUAAACUUCUUUUAUAUGGGAAUAAAACGUUCCACGUGUGGGAUUUUGUAUGUACCAUAUGAAUAAGGAUCGGCUAACUCCGUGCCAGCAGCCGCGGUAAUACGGAGGAUCCGAGCGUUAUCCGGAUUUAUUGGGUUUAAAGGGAGCGUAGGUGGAUUGUUAAGUCAGUUGUGAAAGUUUGAGGCUCAACCGUAAAAUUGCAGUUGAAACUGGCAGUCUUGAGUACAGUAGAGGUGGGCGGAAUUCGUGGUGUAGCGGUGAAAUGCUUAGAUAUCACGAAGAACUCCGAUUGCGAAGGCAGUUCACUGGACUGCAACUGACACUGAGGCUCGAAAGUGUGGGUAUCAAACAGGAUUAGAUACCCUUGUAGUC